Non-coding RNA from Macaca mulatta (Rhesus monkey), 366 nucleotides. NCBI's taxonomy places the organism in Eukaryota, Metazoa, Chordata, Mammalia, Primates, Cercopithecidae. The record is from RefSeq and is a predicted model, not a curated record.
GAGAUGCUCUCCGCACCACACUGCUGCUGCUGCUACUGAGGGAGAGGAAGGGGUCGCAUCUGAGAUUCAGGAUUGUUUUAUCUGCCUCUUCAGUGCCUGUUUCAGUGAUAUGAAGUUAAAACCAGGAUGACAGAUUCCCUGCCAUUGUGUAUAUGUGGCUCAAUACCCUGCAUCUAGAUCCGUGAUGGUAAAUAUGCUACGUUUAGCCUGAAGCCAGCCUGAGCCAAGAAAAGGGAGAAGGUUUUGCUGUUUAAUCAAAGUAGGAGUUUUGAUUUAUAUUUUGUACUGAAAGUUUUAUUUUUUGAAAUUAGUCUGUUGGCCACUUCCAAUGUAUGUAGAACUGUGUUACCUAAGAAUGAGCAGAAA